AGAAGAGUGGUCAACUUGCUUAGGAGAGGGAGUUUCCUUACCAAGAGUUCCCCCCACUGAUAUCUCUAGACCAAAAGCGGCAAUAAGGACCACUCUGCUAGACCUUUCAGUACCAUCGUUCAGUCAUCAGUAUGUUUGUGUACAAUAACUCCUAUAGAAGUGCUUGCCAGUGUAACAUUAUUUCUAAAGAUCAAGGGUCAUAGACAAGACUCCAACAAAGAGCAGGAUAAGAAUUAGCAUGCCGGCAGAAGAGGUAGAUCAUUUAGCCCUGGGAGCUGAGGGAGAAAAACAAGGUCUCUGGCACUUGGAAUUGGCCUCUCAGAGACAUGAGCUAGUCCAGAGGUCUCUCUGCCUUUGUGGAGGGGAACCAAGAAGUUGGGAAGGAAGGAAGUCAUCUAAGAUCAAUCAGGAAAUAAUGACAUCAGGAGAUAAAUACCAACGGUCUCCUAGCCGCAAGCUGGGAUGUCAUCCUUCCAUGAAACUUUGAUGGUUUGAAGGUCCUGAAUCUCAGAACUACGUGUACAAUUCUUUGGCCUGCUAGCUGUUGUCUUUUCCCAGAGGUCAGGGUUCUCAUGACAGUCAGUCCCUUCUAGCCUGCACUGGGAGUGCUUUGAGGCAUUGAGUGGUUGGUAGCAGACACACCAAACCAUGGACUCUCUCAUUCCCUUCUCUUCCAUGGCUCCAGAUACUCCAUGUGGACAUGCUGGAAUAGAGAAGAGUAAUCUCUCAGUGCUUAGGGGAAAGGACCCAAGAAGUCUUCUAGUCCAGCUGCCGACCCCAUACCAGAAUUAAUCAUGGAAUCAACCAAUGGUUAUCAUUUUUUUAAACCUCUAACUUCCACCUUAAAAUCAAUACUAUGGAUUUGUUCCUACAAAAGAGUGGUAAGGGCAAGCAAUGGGGAUUAGGUGACUUGCCCAGGGUCACUCAGCUGGGAAGUAUUUGAGACUAGAUUUGAACCCAGGACCUCCCACCUCUGGGCCUGGUUCUCAGAGCUG
Molecule: long non-coding RNA, 995 nt
Filed under: Monodelphis domestica (gray short-tailed opossum)
Lineage: Eukaryota; Metazoa; Chordata; Mammalia; Didelphimorphia; Didelphidae
Description: lncRNA (ENSMODG00000032468.2)
Source: RNAcentral